RNAcentral lists this ribosomal RNA (231 nucleotides) under uncultured bacterium. RNAcentral's name for it is "partial 16S ribosomal RNA". It matches the Rfam family "Bacterial small subunit ribosomal RNA", at positions 104 to 334 of the family's 1533-position model. The record is from RNAcentral.
CGGGGUGCGGAACACGUGUGCAACCUGCCUUUAUCUGGGGGAUAGCCUUUCGAAAGGAAGAUUAAUACUCCAUAAUAUAUUGAACGGCAUCGUUUAAUAUUGAAAGCUCCGGCGGAUAGAGAUGGGCACGCGCAAGAUUAGCUAGUUGGUGAGGUAACGGCUCACCAAGGCGAUGAUCUUUAGGGGGCCUGAGAGGGUGAUCCCCCACACUGGUACUGAGACACGGACCAG